GACGAACGCUGGCGGCGUGCUUAACACAUGCAAGUCGAACGAUGAAGCACCAGCUUGCUGGUGUGGAUUAGUGGCGAACGGGUGAGUAACACGUGAGUAACCUGCCCCUCACUCUGGGAUAAGCCUUGGAAACUGGGUCUAAUACUGGAUACGACCGAUCUCCGCAUGGAGUGUUGGGGGAAAGUUUUUGUGUUGGGGGAUGGACUCGCGGCCUAUCAGCUUGUUGGUGGGGUAGUGGCCUACCAAGGCGACGACGGGUAGCCGGCCUGAGAGGGCGACCGGCCACACUGGGACUGAGACACGGACCAGACUCCUACGGGAGGCAGAAGUGGGGAAUAUUGCACAAUGGGCGAAAGCCUGAUGCAGCGACGCCGCGUGAGGGAUGACGGCCUUCGGGUUGUAAACCACUUUCACCAGGGACGAAGCUAACGUGACGGUACCUGGAGAAGAAGCACCGGCUAACUACGUG
This 469-nucleotide ribosomal RNA is filed under the name uncultured bacterium. Its description in RNAcentral is "partial 16S ribosomal RNA". It matches the Rfam family "Bacterial small subunit ribosomal RNA", at positions 28 to 507 of the family's 1533-position model. The record is from RNAcentral.